This 469-nucleotide ribosomal RNA is filed under the name uncultured bacterium. RNAcentral describes it as "partial 16S ribosomal RNA". It matches the Rfam family "Bacterial small subunit ribosomal RNA", at positions 28 to 507 of the family's 1533-position model. The record is from RNAcentral.
GAUGAACGCUGGCGGCGCGCCUAACACAUGCAAGUCGAACGGUUAAAGCACCUUUUAGGUGUGUAUAAAGUGGCGAACGGCUGAGUAACACGUGGGCAACCUGCCCUCCUCUUGGGGAUAGCCUCGGGAAACCGAGGAUAAUACCCGAUACUUCAAUGUGGCCGCAUGACGACAUUGAGAAAGCUUUUGCGGAGAAGGAUGGGCCCGCGGCCUGUUAGCUUGUUGGUGGGGUAGAGGCCUACCAAGGCAAUGAUGGGUAGCUGGGUUGAGAGACCGACCAGCCGGAGUGGGACUGAGACACGGCCCAGACGCCUACGGGAGGCAGCAGUGGGGAAUCUUGCACAAUGGGCGAAAGCCUGAUGCAGCGACGCCGCGUGCGGGACGAAGGCCUUCGGGUUGUAAACCGCUUUCAGCAGGGACGAGGCGAUAAGUGACGGUACCUGCAGAAGAAGCCCCGGCUAACUACGUG